GGCGGCGUGCUUAACACAUGCAAGUCGAACGAGAAUUCGACGGAAAGAGACUUGGUCAAUGGAAGUUGAGGAAAGUGGCGGACGGGUGAGUAACGCGUGAGGAACCUGCCUUUCAGAGGGGGGACAACAGUUGGAAACGACUGCUAAUACCGCAUAACGCAUGAGGGUCGCAUGAUCUUUAUGCCAAAGAUUUAUCGCUGAAAGAUGGCCUCGCGUCUGAUUAGCUAGUUGGUGAGGUAACGGCCCACCAAGGCGACGAUCAGUAGCCGGACUGAGAGGUUGACCGGCCACAUUGGGACUGAGAUAUGGCCCAGACUCCUACGGGAGGCAGCAGUGGGGAAUAUUGGGCAAUGGGCGCAAGCCUGACCCAGCAACGCCGCGUGAAGGAAGAAGGCUUUCGGGUUGUAAACUUCUUUUAAGGGGGAAGAGCAGAAGACGGUACCCCUAGAAUAAGCCACGGCUAACUACGUG
RNAcentral lists this ribosomal RNA (471 nucleotides) under uncultured bacterium. RNAcentral's name for it is "bacterial SSU rRNA". It matches the Rfam family "Bacterial small subunit ribosomal RNA", at positions 38 to 507 of the family's 1533-position model. The record is from RNAcentral.